RNAcentral lists this ribosomal RNA (253 nucleotides) under uncultured bacterium. Its description in RNAcentral is "partial 16S ribosomal RNA". It matches the Rfam family "Bacterial small subunit ribosomal RNA", at positions 524 to 776 of the family's 1533-position model. The record is from RNAcentral.
UACGUAGGUGGCAAGCGUUGUCCGGAUUUGCUGGGUGUAAAGGGCGUGUAGGCGGGACUGCAAGUCAGAUGUGAAAAUUAUGGGCUCAACCCAUAACCUGCAUUUGAAACUGUAGUUCUUGAGUGAUGGAGAGGCAGGCGGAAUUCCGUGUGUAGCGGUGAAAUGCGUAGAUAUACGGAGGAACACCAGUGGCGAAGGCGGCCUGCUGGACAUUAACUGACGCUGAGGCUCGAAAGCGUGGGGAGCAAACAGG